CUUGCGCUCCUCGCCCCUCUCCCCCCGGGAGCCCCGCCCCCCGCGCAGCGCCCUGAGCCACCGUCUCGCGCCUCCUGGCGUCCUCCCGAUCCCCUCUCUCAGGGCUUCCCGCGGGCCCCCCGCUUUUCGGGGCUCCCCUCGGCCAGCGCCGGAGGUGGCUGGCGCGUCCCCGGGUCCGCGCCUGGCGGCCUGACGGGACUGCUGGGGGUGACCGCCAUAGCGCCACGUGGUCACUUGUUUGACAAAGGAAACUUUUUUCUCCCUCCGAAGUGCUGCAUUUCUGGACCGAGCCACCGGCCGCCUUAUGCCUAUUGUAUCCCUUUCCCUGCCGAGCCAUCUUUUUCGCUUUCUUGGAGCUGUCCCAAACCUGGGCCAGGGUCCUGGCGCGGUGAGCUGAUGGAAGGGGGCUGGCGGUUCGGGGCAGCGAGGGCGCCGAAGGUGAAGACGUUUUCCCCGAGCCGGCCGCGGGGCCUUUGCUUUCUUUUGGAAUCUCAGAAAUCACGAGGACUCUAGGCGGCUUGAUGUUUGCAAACCCACUGAAGAGCGGCAGGAAGUUUUCAUAGGCAGAUAGAGAUACUGAGCCAUCAAAGGAAAAAACUUCACCUGAGAUCAUCCCCCAUCGCCCCUCAUGUGAUGGAACGGAGAGUCACAAAACAGAGUUUCCUUUGCCUUUUGUUAAAUCUCUAACAUUAGAUUAAUGUGUCUAAGGUUAAUUACUGGAUUAUUAAUAAUAAACUGGGUUUAUGGCUACAGUUUAUUAAAGCUUCCAAAUUACUCAUUAGUAAAACACAGCACUAAUUUUUUCAGUAUCAUAACUGAAUACCUGAGAUGAUCACCAACAUUUCCAUUAUACGUCUGACAUCUCAGCUAACAGUUGCCGGCCUGGGACUCCUCUCCCCAGGAGAACAGGCGAAUGGUCCGGGAAACAUGAAGACAGACUUCAUGGCCUUGGAGGAGAACACAGGACGGUCUCCAAACUCCCACCCAAAGAAUAAGCCAGCUUCGCAGGGUUAUGCAGCACCAAGGGGCUCUUCAACAUCCCCUGCAGGUCCACUAGUCUCCACCCCGGCCCGCUCGCACCGGGAGUCCACUCCAUCACUCUCCUCCCCCAGCCCCGCCAGCCUGCCACCUCCAUCACGGUGCUGUCGGCCACUCUCAUCCUUAUAGCCUGAGCUCCAUACGUGAAGUGUUUGCCUCCUGACAUUCAAAGCUAAGCUUCUGAAACUCAAGAAAAACAAAAACCCCUCUUUCUCCUACAUACACAUGGAACUGGUACAUAUAAGUCAGAAACAUCUUGGAUAUCAACUUUCCUGCUUUUUCUGUGUUGAGAAAGACGAUUGGCCCUUCAUUCUGCCGGGUGCUUUUGCAUCUUCUCCUCCAUGGGGGCCAAUGUUCCCCAGCCGGAAGACUGUGUCUCCCCCAGUGGAGGAGGUCAUGGGCUGAGAAGAGAAAGCAUGUCUUCAUAGAGGCAGCGGGUGGGAUGUGGAACAAGGCAGCCCGCAGCCCGGUACUGUCACCACUGUUGGUGCAGUGUGACGUGGACAAAUUUCCACAUACAUAAAGUACUUCAAAGAGCGCCUGGCACAGAUUAAGCUCUCAAAGCUAUUAGGAUCUCAGAAUUAAAUUCCACCACCAGAGCAGAGUGGGAUAUGGCUGGAUGGCACGCGUUUAUGAGGAACGUUGUGUGGAGAGACCUCCACUCUGGAGGACGAGAGAGGAAGUUCUGGGAGCUGCCAGACUUCAGAGAAGAUACGAAUGGGCUGUGAAG
Long non-coding RNA from Balaenoptera ricei (Rice's whale), 1768 nucleotides. RefSeq lists it as uncharacterized. The record is from RefSeq and is a predicted model, not a curated record. NCBI's taxonomy places the organism in Eukaryota, Metazoa, Chordata, Mammalia, Artiodactyla, Balaenopteridae. The transcript is spliced from 4 exons.